RNAcentral lists this unclassified non-coding RNA (391 nucleotides) under soil metagenome. Its description in RNAcentral is "partial contains 5.8S ribosomal RNA, internal transcribed spacer 2, and large subunit ribosomal RNA". The stretch from base 1 to 122 matches the Rfam family "5.8S ribosomal RNA", at positions 35 to 154 of the family's 154-position model. The record is from RNAcentral.
GAUGAAGAACGUAGUGAAAUGCGAUACUUGGUGUGAAUUGCAGAAUCCCGUGAACCAUCGAGUCUUUGAACGCAAGUUGCGCCCGAAGCCAUUAGGCCGAGGGCACGCCUGCCUGGGCGUCACACGUCGUUGCCCCCCCAUCUACUCCUUCGGGAUUGCGGGGGGCGGAUGAUGGCCUCUCGUGCGCCUCGUCGCGCGGUUGGCCUAAAUGCCAAGUCCUCGGCGACGCACGCCACGACAAUCGGUGGUUGCGAAACCUCGGUUGCCUGUCGUGUGCGGUCGUCGCGCAUCGAGGGCUCGAAAAAAUUGCCGGGCUCCGGCUCGGCUUUCAACGCGACCCCAGGUCAGGCGGGGUUACCCGCUGAAUUUAAGCAUAUCAAUAAGCGGAGGA